Molecule: long non-coding RNA, 782 nt
Organism: Nymphaea colorata (pocket water lily)
Lineage: Eukaryota; Viridiplantae; Streptophyta; Magnoliopsida; Nymphaeales; Nymphaeaceae
Exons: 2
Source: RefSeq, a predicted model, not a curated record
CAGAAAACGACCAGGACACGCAGGACAGAGAAGAAGGAGUAUAAAAGGCUGAAUAGUUCCAACUUCCAACGCGUCAGCCCUCCCCCAACCACGAGCUCUCCUCCCCCGACCCCAAGCUCUCCUUGCCCCAAAAACAUGUGCAUCCCCAUUUCCAUCUUUCGGUGUGAAGAAAAAACAUAGCGGUUGUUCUUCUUCCCGUCCACCGUCGUUUUUCUUCCUGUCGCCCGUCGUUCUUCUUCUUCCGCUGCCACCAUUCCGACUGACCCAGAGCUCCGGAAGAAGUUCUGCUGGGCUGAGCGGUUUGGGUUACCGGUGCAGCUGUCAGAGGAAGAGAAGCAGAGCUUUGGAUCCCAGAGUUAUGGAUUGGAAAUUUCAUGGCAUAUCAUUUCUAUAGAAAGGACAAGAGACCUCUGAAGUUGCAUCCCCAGCUGGAGAAGUUGCUCAAAGAAGAGUUUCACUCCCUGGACGACGACAGCAGUGAGUCUCCAGCUUUGGCUGAACCUGCUGCUGCUGCUUCUACCAGUUCGUUGAAGUUGGGAUAGUGAAGGAAGUUGAGAAGGGUGGGGGGGGCUUAAUUUUGAUUGUUGUGAUGUUUUUAUCCAAUUCUUUUCUAUAAGUCCUCUAAUGAUGACGAUGAUUUGAGUUGAAUGGGUGGCUCUGAAAUUUUUUUUGCUUUGGAGUUGUUGGUUCACCACGGCUUCAUUGUACAUAAGAAUAAUGAUAGAAUGAAUUAUCAAAAUUGAUUAAUAAUAGAUUAGAAUUAAAUCUGUUUCAUUUUUUAA